This is a transfer RNA of Meleagris gallopavo (turkey), 73 nucleotides long. It matches the Rfam family "tRNA". From Rfam's summary of the family: Transfer RNA (tRNA) molecules are approximately 80 nucleotides in length. Their secondary structure includes four short double-helical elements and three loops (D, anti-codon, and T loops). Lineage: Eukaryota; Metazoa; Chordata; Aves; Galliformes; Phasianidae. The record is from Rfam.
GGUUCCAUAGUGUAGUGGUUAUCACAUCUGCUUUACACGCAGAAGGUCCUGAGUUCGAUCCUCAGUGGAACCA